Molecule: ribosomal RNA, 301 nt
Filed under: uncultured bacterium
Lineage: Bacteria
Description: partial 16S ribosomal RNA
Rfam family: Bacterial small subunit ribosomal RNA
Source: RNAcentral
CAGCAGCCACGGUAAUACGAAGGGGGCUAGCGUUGUUCGGAAUUACUGGGCGUAAAGCGCACGUAGGCGGAUAUUUAAGUCAGGGGUGAAAUCCCAGAGCUCAACUCUGGAACUGCCUUUGAUACUGGGUAUCUUGAGUAUGGAAGAGGUUAGUGGAAUUGCGAGUGUAGAGGUGAAAUUCGUAGAUAUUCGCAGGAACACCAGUGGCGAAGGCGGCUAACUGGUCCAUAACUGACGCUGAGGUGCGAAAGCGUGGGGAGCAAACAGGAUUAGAUACCCCUGUGUCCCUGUCUCUUAUACA